GCCGAAGCGACUCCUGUCUCGUGAUCUCCCUCGAGAGCUGAAGUGAGGGCCCAGGAAACUCAAGUGUAGGGUUAGGGUUCCAGGCCGGCUUAAGUUUCGGUGGAGGGUUCUGGUUCGGGGUGGGGUUAGAGUUAGGUUUAGGUCCCCGGAGAGUCAAGGCGCUGAACCCACAGCAGGGCAGAGGUCUCCCCAAAGGGCUGAGUUGAGGGCACAAGGGAGGGUCCCGGUCAGGAACAGUCUUUGUCUAUCAAGGCCACACAACUCGAUGGGCCCCUGGUCGGGGAGUUCUCCUGAAUCCUCUCAGGUGGCUGCAGGCGGGCCAGGGAAACGACAUGGUGAGUUUCCAUAUUCCAUGCCGAAUGAGCCUGUACCGGUUCUAAACCCCAGGCGUAUGGUGUUGUCAGACUUUGGUAUUGGGUCCCCAUGGGGAGAGAGCCUUAGCUAGGGUUAGGAUUCGGUCAAGGGAUGUCACCAGGGCCUAAGCAAUUCCAGUCUCGGGUUCUCCCUCAAGAUCUGAAGUGAGGGCCCAUGGGACGGGGUGGUCAAGUGUAGGGUUAGGGUUGGAGGCCGGCUUAGGUUUUGGUUGCGGCUCCAUUUCGGGGAAGGGUUAGGGUUAGUGUUAAGUCCCAGGAAGCUCCAGGCUCUGAACACAGCAGGGCAAUGGUCUCCCCAUAGGGCUGAGUUGUGGGCACAAGGGUGGGUGCCGGUCAGGAUCAGUCUUUGGCUACCAAGGCCACACAGGUCGAUGGGCCUCUGGUCAGGGAGGCCUCGGGAAUUCUCACGUAGGUAGAGCCGGGACUGGGAAAAUACAUGGUGAGCUUCCAGGUUUCAUGUCGAGUGAGGCUCCACCACCCUGGCGUGUGGUGUUGUCAGAAUAUGGUAUUGGGUCCCCAUGGUGAGAGAGCAUUAGGUAGGGUAAGGGUUUGGUCCAGGGUCAUCGCCAUCCCGAAGCGACUCCAGGCUCUAGAUAUCCCUCGAGGGCUGAAAUGAGGGACCAUGAGACGGGGUGGCUCAAGUGUAGGGUUAGGGAUCAAAGCCGGCUUAGGUUUUGGAUGAGGGUUUCAGUUCGGGGUAGGGUUAGGGUUUGGGUUAGGUCCCAGGAGGUUCUAGGCGCCGAACCCACACCAGGGCAGUGGUCUUCCCAAAGGGCUGAGUUGAGGGCACAAGGGA
Molecule: long non-coding RNA, 1170 nt
Organism: Herpailurus yagouaroundi (jaguarundi)
Lineage: Eukaryota; Metazoa; Chordata; Mammalia; Carnivora; Felidae
Exons: 3
Source: RefSeq, a predicted model, not a curated record